RNAcentral lists this ribosomal RNA (497 nucleotides) under uncultured bacterium. RNAcentral describes it as "partial 16S ribosomal RNA". It matches the Rfam family "Bacterial small subunit ribosomal RNA", at positions 28 to 507 of the family's 1533-position model. The record is from RNAcentral.
GAUGAGCGCUGGCGGCGUGCCUAAUACAUGCAAGUCGAGCGAACAGACGAGGAGCUUGCUCCUCUGACGUUAGCGGCGGACGGGUGAGUAACACGUGGAUGACCUACCUAUAAGACUGGGAUAACUUCGGGAAACCGGAGCUAAUACCGGAUAAUAUAUUGAACCGCAUGGUUCAAUAGUGAAAGACGGUUUUGCUGUCACUUAUAGAUGGAUCCGCGCCGCAUUAGCUAGUUGGUAAGGUAACGGCUUACCAAGGCAACGAUGCGUAGCCGACCUGAGAGGGUGAUCGGCCACACUGGAACUGAGACACGGUCCAGACUCCUACGGGAGGCAGCAGUAGGGAAUCUUCCGCAAUGGGCGAAAGCCUGACGGAGCAACGCCGCGUGAGUGAUGAAGGUCUUCGGAUCGUAAAACUCUGUUAUUAGGGAAGAACAAAUGUGUAAGUAACUAUGCACGUCUUGACGGUACCUAAUCAGAAAGCCACGGCUAACUACGUG